Non-coding RNA from Schizosaccharomyces pombe (fission yeast), 1219 nucleotides. Lineage: Eukaryota; Fungi; Ascomycota; Schizosaccharomycetes; Schizosaccharomycetales; Schizosaccharomycetaceae. The record is from the annotation of a GenBank genome assembly.
GCUGGAAUACCCGACAUGGUAUUAAGAAUAUGUGCUGUCAAGGCAGGUCCUUGAGGUUGAGGAGGAUUACUAGCCAUUUUCUUUAUUCUACAGUAGAUGGUAGAAACAGGAAAUACGAUGAGUGCUAAAAAACUGUUCUCUUUUUAAGGAAACACGACAAUUGAUGUUGGACAGUUCAGUAUUGACUGGUAGAAUCCAGGUACACGUUUUGUAAGGAAAUGUUGUCCCUAAAAAUAGUCUCAAAUCAAGAGUUUGUCAAAAUAUAUAGUCUAUUUUUAACAAUAGAUGAUAUAUCAUAUACAAUACUAGGAGAUAGAAAAAUCUAAAAAAUUGGGAUCCCACAGUUAUUUUGGUAAUUCCGACAUCAAGGCUUCCGCUCGUAAUACCGCUUUUAUCGUCAAACCGGAAAUCUACGGUUGUGCUUUGUAUUACUUUAUGUAUGUUUAAGGAACCACGAUGUAUUUCAUUUUAGGAAAUACCGGACGAGGGUUAAAUAAAUAUAAACAGAUGAAACUACCUUGUUGGAGAAUUGAGACUAAGGAGGAUGAAUAACGCAGAGUGGUGUGGUUUGAUAUAAUUAUUUAAGGAAAUUCAAACAAACACAGUAAAAGUUGAUUUUCAUUAAUGGCUUUCUUAAAAAUAAUAAAACGGCGCGAGUAAUACCAGUUUAUAUGUUUGUUUGGAGAUCACCUCAAAAACUUUUAACUUCACUUAAACAUGAUGUUUUAUAAGCACUUGGAAACGAUUGCCUCUCAUUGUACACAUUAUCCAAGUGUUUAUGUGGGCAUCUUGUUACUUGAAACCGAAAUAUGAAGAAAAGUAGUUUUAUUAGAUUCUUGUCGAUAUAUAAGUUAAAGAAAAUUUUUUGGAUAGAUCGAAAUACACUAUUAUGAACCUCUUUUUGGAAUUGCUCAUUUUCAAAUUUGCUUUUCUGAGUCCAUCUUUACAUGGGUACUCAAAAAGACCUGGGUGGUCGUUGAAUUGCGCAUGAUCAAUAAAAAUGAGGGAGCAUCAAUUCGUAAAGGGAGAAAAGGCAAAUCAAAUGAUUAUAUACGUAGAUAAUCAUCCUUGUGAACUUUACGAUUUAUACUACCUCGACGACGAGUCGUCAACUAAAUGUUUACAAUAUUAUAUAAUUUAAAAUAUAAAGUGCGAACCAUAAAAUUUAUUAAAUUUCCACAGCUUUUAAGCAGCCUAUUCCAAAUAAUACUAUUAGAGC